Long non-coding RNA from Meriones unguiculatus (Mongolian gerbil), 3520 nucleotides. RefSeq lists it as uncharacterized. The transcript is spliced from 5 exons. The record is from RefSeq and is a predicted model, not a curated record. Lineage: Eukaryota; Metazoa; Chordata; Mammalia; Rodentia; Muridae.
UCCAUUUUCCUUCCUAGGAGAAAAGAGCUGCUCUACCUUAAAAAUGGCCCCCUCUCUAAGUGGUGCCACAAAAAGGUGAGGCCACAAAGGCAAAACAAAUUCCAUGGAGAACGAGGCUGCUUGCAAUGUUAGCCCUGGACAUUAACCAGCACAACUUACACCAUGUGCGAGCUACUGGCUGCCCCCGGUGAACUGACUCAGGGUACAAAGAUAUGAAGACGAAUGCUUUCAUUUUGGAUUACUGUUUUCAAUGGGCACUGAGGACAACUGAAGUUCAGAGGGAGUUCACCUUGAAGAGCCUAAGGUCCAAGCACUCUGACCACGAUGAACACGCAAGAGAAUUUUAGCUUUUGCCCAAGGCUGCCAAAUUCUCACCAGAUGCCAGGAUGUAGGUAACAGGUAACAGCCCCCACUAUGUCUGGGAGUGACAGACUUAGUUGAGCACAUUUAUUUAUUAAUCAUUUUUAUUUUGAUUCUUGUUCUCCAGGGGAAGUGACAUCACCGGGAGGAAACCUGAUCAUUCAUUUCUGGAGCUUCCCCUUUUCACACUGUCUCUUAGUAUCUUUAGGGUUUUAAAUAUGCACGGCCAAGUAGGAGCUGUGCAGGUGGCAAGUAUUCAGGCUCAUGCCACCUAUUGGAAUAUGAAUGGUGUGUAAGUGUUCAACCGGAAGUUGUCACUCAUCACGUGAGAAACAAUCAACAAAAGGGACUUAAUUAUAUGCAGAAAAGGGCCGACACUUUGUCAGUUCAUGAUAUUAUGUGGUCGUUCUUUCCUUCAUCUCAACAGAGUAGAAAUCUUUAGUCGUGUUAGAGUCCCUUAAGACAAGCACACAUCCAUGCAUUUACCGAAAUAAAUAAGCAAACUGCAAUGAGGGAGAGACAGCGAAGCUGGGGUCUCUAUUCUAAGCUAGGGUCUGUAUACCGAAGCUAGUAUAUAUAUAUGUAAAUAUGUUUUUUAUUCUGACAGGAGUUUUAGAAAGACAAAAUUUAGAUCUGAUGAAUUCAAAGGUGCUCUGCCUGCAUGCAUGUUGGUGCACUACUUGCACAACUGGUGCCCACGGAGGCCGGAAGAACUGUAGAUGUGGACAGUGGUAGGCUGCGACGUGUGUCCCGGGAAUCCAACCACGGUUCUCUGUAAGAGCAGCCAAUGCUCAUAUCUGCUAAGCCAUUUCAACAGCCCUUUAUCUGUCUCUUAGACAUUAGGAAACUAGGUCUCUACAGUUGCCUGAGGAUUGGAGGUAACCAAUGGCAGAAACAGCCCUGAGACCACAAGCUAUGGGUUUUAUUCUGUGCAUGAAUUGAAGCAGUUAAACACUGAUCUCUGCCUUAAAGGACCCACUGUCCUGUCACCCAUCUGAGCAAGCCCUCCUUCUGUAGACUGGGUAUUAGUGGGACAGGAAAAGGCUCUACUGUGAACCUGGGACUGAUGCUGGGAGAAACAGGCAGCUUUGUGGCUCUGCCACCAACUCAUACUUAGCCUUGUGGUUCUCCUCAAACCCCAUGCUAAAGCACAUGCUAAAAAUAAACAAGGACAUUUGUGAACAGGUACUCAGAACUAAAAUGAAGGAACCGCCACUUGGGAGAUGAUUAAGUUGUAGAGGAAAAGAAAACAAAAGCUUACACAAAGAACGGGAACAAAAACAGAAAGGGGAUGAGAAGAGAGAGGUUUUCCCUUAUAGAAUGCAGACAGACAAGCUGUUUACUCACAGGUAACAAAAUCAGGGUCAAAGUGAGGACAUCAGAAACACUGAGGCAGCCCCAUAAAAGGCAGCUGGUCCUGGUGAUAUUUCUCAACAUGUCUAUCAGUUUACAUAUGCAAAAAAAGCUGGCGGUGGGCUAACACAACAGAGGGGGCGGGGAGACUCCACAGUGACUAAUAAAAAACUACAUAGGAUCUUCUCAGGUCUACAAUUUGAAAAUGUCACUAGACUACGCAGAAUCAUGCAGCUAAGAUGACUAUCAUUUAAAAGUUCAAGCAGGGCUCUGGCUUAUUAUCCAGCCUGAAAAUAAGCAGAGUUUGUGAAGUCUUGAAAGCAGUGUUCGGGCAAGUGAAGAGCAACCUGUGCUAUCAGGAUAAGGGAAGUGUGCUCAUAUGUGCUAUGUCUAUAUGCGUGCGUGCGUGCGUGCGUGCGUGCGUGUGUGUGUGUGUGUGUAAUGGGCUCCUUGGGAGACAACUGUCCUGUGUACAGACUGGUUGGGGAUUCACUCUGGCAACAUUCCAGGGCCAAGGUCAAGGCCCCUGCCAGCCUAAAUGCUGACCUUUACAAAGCAUGUACUGAAAGAGAUUCCAAGCACAAACAUGGCCCUGGAGACCACAAAAAGAGAUAAUGCAUGCUUGGCAGACAGUCAAGUGUACUGGAAGAUCAGUAGGGGAGGCCGGCCCAGGUGAAUGGGAAGGCUGUGGGAAGGGCUGACCAUGAUAUGUCCUAGGGCUUGUGGGGGUUGUUGUAAGAUGCAGGCAUGGGUAGAGGGAAUGCAGAAACAAGAACACAGAGAUGCUUGAGAUAGACUGGGUGGGAUCCAAAGACAGAGAAGAUCUCCCCAAGAUUCCAGUCUGCCUACAAUUUGACAAUUCUUUACCAAAGCAUGCAGCAAGAAACUCAAGGCUGAAAAGCAAUGCGAUUUAAGGACAUGUUCCCUACAAGGGAGCUCUUGAAGGAAGUGGAACAGGAAAGAUAGCAUGGUGAGAAUCAAAACUGACCUCCACUUCUGGCCUUAGAGACCGGAGAUAACUUUUGAGAUCGCCACGUGUCAUUAGUUCCAUGAUGACCAGGGUAGGCUGGCCUUGGGACACCACGCCCAGUAACCGGACCUGAAGGAUUCAAGAAGAGAAGGACUCAGAGGCAGAGGGCAUGCCACAUGAUGCUCUAUACCCCUUGAAACUGUGGUGCUGGGACCUGUGGCCAGGAGCAGAAUUCUGGUGAGAGGAAGAAGAAAGAAGAAGAAAGAAGAAGGAGGAGGAAGUUGCAAGGAGGAAGAAAGAGAAGAAGGAGGAGGAGGAUAACGACUAUUUCUCUGGUCCCUAUUUUUCUCUUUUACAAAAGCAAUUAUUGACCUGGACAGCAUGGCUGCAUGGUUCUGGCUGCUUAGGAGACUGAGGUAGAGUGUGAGGAUCACUUUAGCAGUUAUAUAUACGCUAGCCUGUAUAAUAUAGUAGGGCUUUACAGUAAGGCUCUGCCUCAAAAAAAAAAAAAAAAAAAAAAAAGUUCUUUGUAUAAAUAAGGCACAUUUACUUUCCUGAUUUAGCUUGUUUGCUUUCUUGUUUGUUUUUGGUGGUGUGGGGGCAGAGCCCAGGUUCUGGAACACUUUAGGCAAAUGUUCUAUCACUAAGCUACAUAUCCAAACCUGUUCUGUUCGUUUUAAAGGAGAAAGAUCUUCUCCAUAAGUAGCUAUGCUUCUAAGCGGGGUGCGCCCCCUUUGAGAGUGCCUUUUAUGCUUUACAGGCGCAAACACAUGCAUGCAUGGCUCUUUAAAAAAUAACUCUGCGAGACCUUUUGUAAAGCGAAAUAACAUCAUUAUU